This 207-nucleotide long non-coding RNA is filed under the name Linum usitatissimum (flax). Its description in RNAcentral is "long non-coding RNA (LUSI_LNC000113)". The record is from RNAcentral. Lineage: Eukaryota; Viridiplantae; Streptophyta; Magnoliopsida; Malpighiales; Linaceae.
GCCUGCCUUCUUCAAUGUAUCUCCAACCAUUAUUAUUCUCGUCCGUUCUGCGUUUCCCUGAAAAUCACAUCACCAAUCGCGAGCGAAAGAAAACAACUCCGAACUAAGAAAUAAUCCAAAUCUCUCAUAAAAAAACGAGCAACCGAAAGAAGAUUGAGGAAAAAGACACGAUGCGCUUACGCCUCUCUUGAGAGAAUGAACGAUGAU